RNAcentral lists this ribosomal RNA (1289 nucleotides) under Dolichoderus imitator. Its description in RNAcentral is "eukaryotic LSU rRNA". It matches the Rfam family "Eukaryotic large subunit ribosomal RNA", at positions 54 to 944 of the family's 3401-position model. Lineage: Eukaryota; Metazoa; Arthropoda; Insecta; Hymenoptera; Formicidae. The record is from RNAcentral.
AGGAAAAGAAACUAACCAGGAUUUCCUUAGUAGCGGCGAGCGAACAGGAAAGAGCCCAGCACCGAAUCCCGCGGUUCCGCCGCAGGGAAAUGUGGUGUUUGGGAGGAUCCGGUGAUCCCGAGGUGUCGCGUCGCGUCCAAGUCCAUCUUGAAUGGGGCCACUUACCCGCAGAGGGUGCCAGGCCCGUAGCGACCGGUGCGCGCACUCGGGAGGAUCUCUCCUUCGAGUCGGGUUGCUUGAGAGUGCAGCUCUAAGCGGGUGGUAAACUCCAUCUAAGGCUAAAUACGACCACGAGACCGAUAGCGAACAAGUACCGUGAGGGAAAGUUGAAAAGAACUUUGAAGAGAGAGUUCAAGAGUACGUGAAACCGUUCAGGGGUAAACCUAAGAAACCCAAAAGAUCGAACGGGGAGAUUCAUCGUCAGCGGCGCCGGCUUCGCGUCGGUGGGCGAUGUUCCGCGCGCGGGCCUUAACGGGUUCCUCGUUGUCGCGGACACGCUACCGCGCGUCGAUGUCCGGCGCUCGUCGUCGUGCACUUCUCCCCUAGUAGGACGUCGCGACCCGCUGGGUGUCGGUCUACGGCCCGGGUGCGUUGGCUGUCGCGUCGCCGGUAAAACGGCACGCGGCAAACCCCUGGAGAGCCCGGCCGGCUGCCCGGCGGUACACGCAUGGUAUCAGGCCGCACCGCGCGCUUCUAGCGCGUUCGCGUGUGCGUCGAGGCCGUCGCAAGCGCGUGCCCCGAGGUACUCAGAGGUUUCACGGGACCUAUACGCCGUCCUCGGUCCUCGGCCCGCUGUUGGUCGUACGGAUACACGGGUGCGUCGCGGGCUAGGUCGUGUCAGGGGGGGGUAACAGCCCUCCGACUGACCGCGCCUCUUCGCGCUCUCCUUCGACAGGCCUGCGAACAUUACGUAGUCAUACCGGUCGGCGACGCUACUGCUUUGGGUACUCUUAGGACCCGUCUUGAAACACGGACCAAGGAGUCUAACAUGUACGCGAGUCAUUGGACUAAAAGCGAGACCUAAAGGCGCAAUGAAAGUGAAGGUCGGCCCUGGUCGUCGACCGAGGGAGGAUGGGCCGCGUCGCGACGCGGCUCCGCACUCCCGGGGCGUCUCGUUCUCAUCGCGAGAAGAGGCGCACCCAGAGCGUACACGUUGGGACCCGAAAGAUGGUGAACUAUGCCUGGUCAGGACGAAGUCAGGGGAAACCCUGAUGGAGGUCCGUAGCGAUUCUGACGUGCAAAUCGAUCGUCGGAACUGGGUAUAGGGGCGAAAGACUAAUCGAACCAUC